UUCAACCUGAUUUUUCUACAGUGGCCAAAUGAAACACAUAUGACUCCUCUGCUUUAUUGCCGACAGCUAUUUCCCUAACGCGUGCUUCGUUCUCUCUCUCAAAUCUACUACAUAAAAAUCCAAAAUUUCUCCCAAAAUCACUUACAAAAUUGGAAUCAACCCACAAAGGGAAGAACAACAACCGAUGUUUGAAUGGAUGGGAUGGCCAUCAUCAACGCCAUUGCCAUGGAGCGGUGCUGCGUCUAUCAAUUGAGGCUGUGGAAGAAUUGAUGGUAGCCUUGAAGAGUCCAGCCAAUCCUCUGAUGGAGAGAUGCUCGAAUGGCAAGAUUAUAAAGCUAUGUCUUUUACUCAAUGUGUAUGUCAUCUGCUCUCGUCUCGUCUCUCCAGCAUAAUUUUAGCCUCUUAAUGUAAAGAGUAAAUUUUUCUUAUUUAUCAUUAAACUGUUUAAGCAAUGUUCAAAUAAUGAUAAUUGAAAAGGUGAUACUAUGAUUCAAGAAUUAUCAAAACUCAAGACCCUUUUAAAACUAAAGUCGAAACCUUCGACUCGCAACUUGUUGCGACCUGACCAGAAUGUGUGUCCCUUUAUCUUACCUUCAUAGGACCAAUCCUUUCCUUUGCUUUUUGUGCAAUCCAGUAAUCAAAAGUUUGGUUUUCUAAAGAUACUUCACAAGUUGUGAUAGUAAAUUUUUUACUUUAUUCUCCAGCAGGUAAUAGAUGAAACUCUUCAACUGGGAGGCAUUGCAAUUUCGUUGGAAAGUCUAUAUGAAUAAGAUUAAGAGUAGUCCAUGUGGGCAAAGAGAACAAAAUAUACUUAAAAAGAAAUAGGAAAUAAAAUUAACAACUGACAACUACAAACAAAGAUGAAGGAUACAUAAGAAUGAUUUCUAAGAAACCCAAAGACCACCUCAUCCCUUGAGAUCACGAUUAGUAUUUUUCAUAAUCGUAUUUCCAAUCACUUGCACACAUCCUUUGUUAUCCUUGUUUUCAAUAGAUGCAAUGGAUAUCCCAUUGUGCUGAUCAUAUUCCGUAAACAUUUAGUACUCAAGUGGUGUUGAUAAAAUGAAAUUGAACUUUAUCCAAAGAAAAUGACAUACCGUGUUUUUUUUUUUAUAACAAUUAAGGAAGAAUUUUGAUCACCUUUAGAUGAUAUAUUUGAAAGAUGUGGUCUAGAGCCAAUUGACGAGGUUAGUCUUGGUAAGUUUGAUUUUCUUAGAGGACCAACAAUUGUUGUUUGUUAUUUUCAAUUAAACUGUUAUUUUCUAUAGACCCGAGUUAAUCCAUGGUUCUAGAAAGAGCGCAAGUGUUAUUAAAUAAUUUGCAAACUUGUUAAACUGAGUAAAUACAAUUAGCUAGAGCUAAACGUUGAAAUGUUGUUCAGAGAGUAAAAAACUUGUUAGUAGGCAUUUAAGAGAUUAAUAAGCAUUCUUUCUUUUUUUUCUAGCAUGAAACUGAAAUAUUUGUUGGUCAAGUAUUUGUAAGGUUCUCUAAUUACAUAUUAUCAUAUCUAUUUGUAUACUUUUACUAGAACUACAUUGAUAGCAAAAUGAUUUUUUGGCUUGUGGGGUAGAAAGUUUUCAAUUGUUGAAUUAAUGGAGACGAAUAUAUAUAAGCCAAAGUAAAACUGAUGAUACUUGUAGCAUUAAAAUUUUCGAAUGUUUCGUAGUUGUUUUUGUACAUAUAUUUGGGUUUUAUAUCAUGAAUCUUUUCAUAUCAAUGUGUUGGAAAUUUGAUAGAAGUGUUUGGGUUGUAAAAUUAUCGCUCCCUUUCUAGGUUAUUUUGUACAUUUCCAACUCAAUAUAAGUAUGAGAAUUGAACUAUCUAUCAUAUUACGGAUUCCAGCUUAGUCCUUUGUCCCAAGUUUAAUGACUAAGUCCUAAAAAUGGUAUUCUUUGUACCUGAUAUGAUAGCUGAUGUAUGGCAUGAAAUGAUUUGUAGGAUCAUUUGUUUUUAAAGUGAAAUUGCUUUAGAAACUAAUUCAAAAGACACGGAUGUUUUAAAAAAAUGGAGAUUGACUCAAGACAUCUCCAAAUGAAAUUUAAAUCCAGAAAUGGAUGGAGCAGAGUCAAUAGUUUCGGCCACCUUCUAGUUGUUUCAAUUUUCUGCAUAACCUUCAUAGGGAGAAAUGAACCAGCUGAAAGAUAUACCAACAAUCGCAGGGCAUGCAUUUAAAUCAGAAGCACAGAUAAAGGUUAGUAAUUUCUACUUGAAAACAAAUUUAGUAAAUGAACCAAGGCAACCUUCAGUAAUCAAAUAUUGCUCUCUUUCUAUUAGAUCCACCAAGGUUGAGGUAGGGACAAUUUUGGCUUAAGAUAAGGCUUACUUGCUAGAAAAUUUUUGCUUGCUUGGUCUAGAAUGAUAUGACAUAGUAACUUUCUAUACAUUUUCAAUGAGGAAAAGUCCAUUCCAUUGUAGUCAUAGUAAAUAUUGGGUUGAUGAUGUAAUUCACGAGAAUUCGACACAUUUAAGACACUAACAUUGCCUUCAAGAUAACCUAGCCCGUGCAUAGCACGGGUAAAGACUAGUAUAUAUAAGAAUCCUCUUAUUCUCUCCCAUUCCCUAAAAGGUAAAAAUCUUAUCAUUCUUUUUCAUUCUCUAAAUCUAAACGGCUCAAUUUUUUCUUGCUCAAGGUCAUCGACGACGUUAAAGUCCUCCAUUUUUUGUUCAGGCUUGAAGCCAAAUAACCGUUAAUUAGUCCACCUUCGACGAAGAUCACCAUUAAUCUCUUGAGGUUUUAUUUUUUCUUUCUUUUUACAUUUGUUGCUCUCUUCUCUUCUAAUUUUUCAAAUUUAGGGGUAUUUGUUUUUUUUAUUCUUUACAAAUUUGGUCUGAAUUGGUACAAUGUCUCAUUUUUUUGUUGUCUAUUUUUCUAGUGCUAUGAAAAUGUUAACAUUUUGGUUUAUGUAAGUUAUUUAUAAAUGUAUUUCUUACAAUUAUAUUUUUCAUUUUUCUUUCAUGUAAAUAAUGGUUAUUGAUCAUUAUUGGACAAAUUAAGUUUGAGUUUGUGAAAUGAGCCAAGAUUGAAUUAGGGAUAUUCUGGUCAACAUGCACAGAUAAAUUCGAUUAAAUGUGCCUUUAUAUGAUUAUUUCGGAUAAUUUAAAUGUUGUUUGAAGUGUUGGAUUAUUAUAUUUUAUUCUUGAAAAUGUCUUUGCAUUUAUAAUGUCCAUUCUGACAGUAACGAAAUCAUCCGUCUACAGAUGAACUGUCGUCCUCGACAGUUAGCUCUGAAAUUCUCGGCAGUUGAUUGCAGAAGCCAAAUUUUGUUAAGCUUCUCUUCUACAUGUGAUUUUAGAGGUUGAAAUGUAUAAUAUGUCAUUUGAGCAUCGUUAUUACUUCAUGAAUUAUAGACAUAAUAGUUAUGAAUCCAUCUGUACAAAUAAACUGUCAUUCUAGAUAGAGAAGUCACCGAUCCAAAAGGUGUUUGCCUGGACUAUCGGAGGGUCCAUUGGCUAGCUAGGUAAAUGAGGGGAUUGUCAUCUAGGAAAUGUCAUCUACACCUAAAACUUCUGCAAUUGCGGGAAAUUUGCUGCUUCAUUUAUGCCAUUUCAUUAGAGGAUGACAGCUUAUCAAGGUAACCCAUUUUAUACUUAACACUCUUUCAUGCUGGAUGUUCUAUACUAAACGUACUAGUACUAUAAUUAGAAAAUCGAAAAAUGUUGUUAUACCGUUUACAUUGUGAAAAAACGUGACAAUUUGUUGCAAUCUAAAUGUAUGACAUAUUGUUGCAAUAUAAAUUCAGCGGACGCCUAGGAUCACAUGCAAUUCAUAAAUAUCAUUCUUCAUAUUUGUCAGUUAUGACAUAUUUUUGUAACCCAACCCUUUACGACAAGCUUGAGAUCACAUGCAAUUCAAAGAUAAAAACAUCUUAUUCGAAAUUUACGGCAUAUUUCUGCUACCUUAAUAUACCAUAAGUUUAGGAUCACAUGCAAUUCAAAGAUAUGAUUUGUCAUACUUGUAAUUUAUAGCAAGUGUGGGCAGCCUAAAUUUACCAUAACUUUAGGAUCACAUGCAAUUCAAAUAUAUCAUUCUUCAGUCCACAAGGACGAUGGUGAGUAUAUCGGGGGUCCGAUUGUGUCAAUUAGGUAGCUGUCAUUGUUAUGUUAGAAAUUUCUCGUAAGAGUAGGAUCACAUGCAAUUUAAAGAUAAUUUUAUUUCAAAUUUGUAAUUCAGGACAUAUUUUUAAACAUAGGUUACAUAGAUAUGAGCUCGUACAGACGAAGGUUGGAUACGGGAAACGAGGCUUUGGUCACUUUCAUGAGAAGCGACGAACAGUAACACAGCGUGGAACGUGUUGUACAUGCAUAUAUUCUGUCAACGAUCCGCAUGGAUGAAUUUGUUAUUUUUUCAUAUUGUGUAAUAAUAAAUUACUAUUUCAAAUAUUUUAUGUGGCAUUUAUUUGAAACUGUUAAGUAUAUUUGAAAUUUAUGUACAAUAACCCUUCGUUUGCAAUGAAGCCACUUGGAUCGCACUACUACGGCAUACGUCUAGACUUAUUUUCAAAUUUCUUGUUUGUAUUUGUAACGUGCAUGUGCCUUCGUAACCCUAAACAAUGUUAAUAUCAUAAGCCAAUAAAAGUGCCCAAAGUACGACAAG
RNAcentral lists this long non-coding RNA (4591 nucleotides) under Olea europaea subsp. europaea. Lineage: Eukaryota; Viridiplantae; Streptophyta; Magnoliopsida; Lamiales; Oleaceae. The record is from RNAcentral.